UAUGUGCAUGCAAUACGGUGGAUGUGAUGAGGUUGGAUGCAUUAUGAGGGGAAUUUACAAUUUCUGCCAUGCUAACAAGCAAGAAACAAUUUCUUCCGGGGAUGCUCAAACGGUGAUCAAUCACAUGGUGGCGAGGCAAGAGCAAGAUUCAGAUUUUUUCCUCAGGUACUUGGUUGAUGAAGCUGGCCAUCUAAAGGGACUGUUCUGGUGUGAUAGUCAACCUGACUUGACUACGAGGCUUUCAGAGACAUUAUUGUUUUUGAUAGCACAUACAGAACCAAUAAGUACAAUCUGCCACUUUUGCCGUUUGUCGGGUUGA
This 319-nucleotide ribosomal RNA is filed under the name Triticum aestivum (bread wheat). RNAcentral describes it as "partial small subunit ribosomal RNA". Lineage: Eukaryota; Viridiplantae; Streptophyta; Magnoliopsida; Poales; Poaceae. The record is from RNAcentral.